Molecule: long non-coding RNA, 1275 nt
Filed under: Brassica napus (rape)
Lineage: Eukaryota; Viridiplantae; Streptophyta; Magnoliopsida; Brassicales; Brassicaceae
Description: long non-coding RNA (BNAP_LNC020427)
Source: RNAcentral
AACCCAUCACUUAGAAUCAGCUGUCCUAACAUCAAAAAGAUACCGCUGUCACCAAUAGCACAAGAUCUAAGCUUGUCGUACGCACAGAACAGUCUCUUUCUGAUGUAGUAGCAGUUCUGAGCAAAACAUUAUGUAUCACAGAUUUCUUCAAUCCUUGGACCACAAGAAAAUUGUAAUCAUCUCACAUUGCCUUUCUUUCACGUUGCCUUAAACAUUGUAUGCAGUCUCUGGCCACUGUUCCUCACAAGUCCCAUGGCAAGAAAGAACAUGCAUAUUCUAUAUGAUUGAUAUCUCCAUGCAUUUGCAUUAGAAAGUCCAGCCCAAGUAUUUUUCAUGCGUAAAACACAGUUGAUACCACUGUCAGACCUUACUCUUCCUUGUUCUCAUCUUCAAUGUCUCUAGCAGCGUCUCGGGUGGUCCUUGCCGGAAGCUCUAACAAGAUUGUCUCCUAACAUGAACCACAAAGAUCUAACGGAUAUUUAUCAGGUCAUUACCAAUAAUUAUAUGUUCUUCUCAUGUUCAUUCCAUGGUGAAUACGGUGUGAUUUUCAACUUCUGGUUUCUCAAGCAGUGUCCUCAAGUUCCGGAGUAUGCACUAUGUUGAUUUAUCGCGUCAUUUAUCCAUGAUUUAUUCGCCAUAAAGCACACAUCAGAUCCUAAACCAGGAGAAAAUAGUUUAGCGGCUUAGUUUUCGUGUACUGUCCUGCUGCAUCUUUAAUCUACUUCUCUGUUGACAUAAGCUAGUUAAUGACUGAGCCAGAUCCUAAACGACACAUCCUUGACGUGAGACUCAAAGUUUCAGCAUUGAAACGGAGCUUCCAAAUACAAACCAAACCAGCAUCACGUAUCACAAACCCAUACAAUAUGACCAAAGAGCAAAUUCCGAGUUUCUCACAAGACAAUCACUUUUCAAAGUGAAACCAUAAUCAAUACCGAAUCCUGAACAUGAAGUUUCAAAGUAAAACUAUUACUCAGAUAACUCAGUCUUUCUUGACUUGCAGACCAGAACAAACCAUCAUCAUAUGAUCAACAUCUCAUAUUUCUUGAUUGCAAAAGCAAAAUAAUUUUGACUCCAUUCGGACGCUCUGAUUAUUCUAUCAUACCCCAUAGCAUCCAUAGUUUGCAGACCCGUUUCAAAAUAUGGAGAAUGAGAAACAUUUUUUCCUUAACUUUCUGAAUCAAGCCAUAUCACUCAAAAUCAUUGCACGAGUUUUAGCACCACUUGAACAGGCUAAGACCAUAUGCCACACUGACAAACUCUCUGCCUGCUGCUGUC